Long non-coding RNA from Ictalurus furcatus (blue catfish), 1225 nucleotides. RefSeq lists it as uncharacterized. The transcript has 3 exons. NCBI's taxonomy places the organism in Eukaryota, Metazoa, Chordata, Actinopteri, Siluriformes, Ictaluridae. The record is from RefSeq and is a predicted model, not a curated record.
GUGUCACCGGCUCGAACCCUCGGUACGCAGAAAAUGGCUGGUCGCAGGUCCGAGCUCGGAGUCUCUCCUCACAGUGCGGCAGGAUAGAAACGCGGCUAGCUUUCGCUCGAGCUUUUCUACAGGAACGAAUUAAACGCUGUUAGCGACACGGGUUCGAGCCACUACAUCGACUCGCAGCAUCAAAAGAAUGGGCACAGAUUGGAAGCAUGAAACCUGCUAGGGACAUUUCAUGUCAAAGAUGUUGGCACCCUGGGUCUUGACACCAUCAGUAACAGAUCUUGGGGUCUCAGCAUCAGAAGGCAGAAAAUGAUGUCAGAGAUUAAUGACCUUUCCCAGUGGCAGUGAUGAGGAUGGAGAUGGCUGGCUCCCACAGAAAAGAAAAUGUUCUAUUUGCAUGGUUUUUACAAGUGGAUUUUGAAGAAACGUUUCAGUGAAUUCUCAGGUAGUUUUAAACUGAUUAGUACGCACUGAGUGACGUCAUUGCUCCUUCUUUUGCAAGCUAACAACCAAAGUUAGCAUAUUGUUGUUUCAAACAUCAGAGGAUAUUGUUCAGGACCUUAGCCAUCCAAGGGGACUGAUGUUAACUCUAUCCGAGUCAAUCAAAGGUAGGUUUUAUGGACAAGGUUAUAAAUGAGAGGACCUUAAUGGAAUUUUAGCCUGAAAACCAAAUCCCCUUCCAUCUCAGGAGUAUCUCACGAAUAGGGUGGUACUGAUGGUGGAGACAAAGCAAGAAGGGAGUACCACACCAUGCCUCUGAUUCAGAAUUCUGUUAAUUCAAUCAAGCUGUCAGAAAUGGUGUCACCAUGCCUGAAUCUACACCAGACAAUAUAUGAAUAGCUUCACAACUGACACCCGGCAUAAGGACUAACGCCAUUUAAUCAGAAAUGAAUGAACCAAUAACCAAAGUGAUAUAUUUUAAUCCUAACCUCUUAUCCAGUGAUUACCCUGUGAAGGACCUUCACCGACAAUCCCCUCUAAAGAAUAGUAGUAAUAAAAUAUAUGAUGAAAGUUUCAGUCACAUUACCAAAGAGGAGGUGAAGAUACAGGACUUUGCAAAUGUUACUGGGUCUGAGACGGUUGAAAAGACCAGAGACUGUGAGGACAAAAAAAGGACAGAACACCGCCUGGUGUACAACAGUGCAAACUGUACAAUUCCGGUCCCAUUUUAUGAAAGACAGAAGGGAUUUGAUGUAGCAAUGCCUGAAGCUGUUACUAGUGUUAAAGA